GGACCAGAGCACGUUCCUGGCUGCAGAGGCCACAAGUCACGCUGUCUCUGAGAGGUAUGGGGACAGGGGCGCAGAGGAAGAAUGAUCGCGAGUCCUCAGCCCUGUUUGGCUGACGGGGGACAGGGAUGGGUGGGAAAGAGGUACAGCGUUUUUCCACCUUCCCCACCCAUCACCCCUGAGAUUCCAAAUGAACAUCGGGACCAACCCCGGGAGCCCAGCGGAUGUUCAGGUGGAAUGUCACCAUCGCCCAGGUGGGGAUUUUUGUGUGUUUUGUUCACUGCUGUACACCCAGCCCCCAGCACAGCGCCUGUCCAGGACAAGUGCCCAGUAAACACUUGGGAAGCAAUGCAAGCGUCCUCCCAGCAGCUCCUGCAAACAGACCCCCGACCCAAGCCCUUCCUUCUGCCUCCACUGCCACCACUGCUGCUCAUCUCUGCUGGCACAGAAGUCUCUUCCCUGGUCUUCCAGAAAUCCCCUCUCCACACUCAGCCAGAGGGAGCUAUUAAAACUGUGGGCCAGCCCACAUCAGUCCACAGCAAAGUCCUCUCUAAGGGAUCUCUGUUGCUUGGAGAAUAAACCCUCGGAUUCCUUCCUUGGC
This 598-nucleotide long non-coding RNA is filed under the name Homo sapiens (human). RNAcentral describes it as "plaque enriched lncRNA in atherosclerotic and inflammatory bowel macrophage regulation". Lineage: Eukaryota; Metazoa; Chordata; Mammalia; Primates; Hominidae. The record is from RNAcentral.